GAUGAACGCUAGCGGGAGGCUUAACACAUGCAAGUCGAGGGGCAGCAUAGGGUAGCAAUACUCUGAUGGCGACCGGCAAACGGGUGAGUAACGCGUAUGCAACCUACCCUGUACAGGGGGAUAACCCGGAGAAAUUCGGACUAAUAUCCCGUAAUAAUAUCCGGAGGCAUCUUUGGAUAUUUAAAGUUCCGACGGUACGGGAUGGGCAUGCGUAACAUUAGCUGGUUGGUAAGGUAACGGCUUACCAAGGCUACCUGAUGUUUAGGGGUCCUGAGAGGGUGGUCCCCCACACUGGUACUGAGACACGGACCAGACUCCUACGGGAGGCAGCAGUGAGGAAUAUUGGUCAAUGGGCGCAAGCCUGAACCAGCCAUCCCGCGUGCAGGAAGACGGCCCUAUGGGUUGUAAACUGCUUUUCCAGGGAGAGAAACUUACGCACGUGUUGCGUGACUGACGGUACCCUGGGAAUAAGCAUCGGCUAACUCCGUGCCAGCAGCCGCGGUAAUCACGAG
Molecule: ribosomal RNA, 512 nt
Filed under: uncultured bacterium
Lineage: Bacteria
Description: bacterial SSU rRNA
Rfam family: Bacterial small subunit ribosomal RNA
Source: RNAcentral